AUUUGGCUUAUUUUCUUCAGCUUUUGCUCCAAAAUGUCUCCUUAUCUCCAUUCUUGUCCCAAUCCUUAGAAUACCUGAAAAAACUCU
This 87-nucleotide small RNA is filed under the name Arabidopsis thaliana (thale cress). RNAcentral describes it as "ATSL167730". Lineage: Eukaryota; Viridiplantae; Streptophyta; Magnoliopsida; Brassicales; Brassicaceae. The record is from RNAcentral.